Tigriopus californicus is the source of this 1105-nucleotide long non-coding RNA. RefSeq lists it as uncharacterized. The transcript is spliced from 2 exons. Lineage: Eukaryota; Metazoa; Arthropoda; Copepoda; Harpacticoida; Harpacticidae. The record is from RefSeq and is a predicted model, not a curated record.
UGCAUACGCCAAGGGUUAAAAGUAAGUAUCUCAAAAGUCACCCUGAAAUUAAAAUGAAAGACAAACUUUUCAGCCUUUUUUGGAUCAUCUUUUUGUUUUGAGUCCUGGACAAAACCAGAACUUUUCCUAUGAAAUAUGUUUCUUUAAUCUGCUGACUUGCUUAUGUCGGGGCUUGUCAACGACCUACGUUCAUUCAAAUAAUCCAACUUGAUACUCAUUGAACCUAGAUCAGUCCCUCAUCUGAAGCCCAUCCAAUAGAAAGACAACCCACGAAACUCAUUUGCCUGUACAGACGAUUCGCACCCAGCGGCAAUCCAUACCACUUCCUCAGGAGCAAAUCGUCUUCUAUUUUGGGCUCCCAUUUCAAAGUGGGAACACCCAAGUGGAACCUGGAACACUCAUCGCUUCCUCUUCAAUGUUGUUAUUAUGUCCCUGUGCUCAGCUCUGUGAAAUUGGAGUAGUGCACCAAUCGCGAAUGACCUUCAGUGAUCCAAACCAGUGGAAUAUAUCCACAGACCGGGUGGCCACCAAUACAAAGACUUACAAAAGUUAGGGUUGGUUGGCGGUGUUGGUGCUACAAAUUGUCACAUCAUGGAACACGGUCCAAUGAAUUGGAGCUUUAUUAUCCUCUAUCCCCGCUUCGUUGAUGUUAUUGUACCAAUGUUCCCAUGUUCCAAUGUAUCCCGAACUGAACUUUGGCAACCUGGAUCGUGUCGAAUGGAAUAAGGUCGAUCAGCUUUGUCACCGCCAUAAAUGUGAUCAUCGGUCGGGAACAAAGUGAAAACCAAUGACAAAUAAUAUUGAAGUCCCUUCCGUGCUCAAAAAAAAAAACACGUGGAAUGUCAAAUGUUGUAUCACAUAUAUUUCCGAUUUGGCAAACAACACUCAAGACCAAAGAGUACAACUACUCAACAUCUCGGCACACUAUGUACUAUACUAGGUCUCAUGAUUUGUCUGUAAUGGUUGAUUUUGUCUCGUAUGACUUUGUGCCACUGUCAUCCACUCAUAACUCUAAAUAUUCUACUACAAAUCCGAAUUACUUUUCUGAAAGUUAUGUGUGUUCACUUGGCCUACAAGAACUACAAAUACAAACUCCUUUGAUGUU